AACCAUAGAAACCUGCGGAGUACCUGCGGAAGGAUCAUUACAAGUGACCCCGGUUUACCACCGGGAUGUUCAUAACCCUUUGUUGUCCGACUCUGUUGCCUCCGGGGCGACCCUGCCUUCGGGCGGGGGCUCCGGGUGGACACUUCAAACUCUUGCGUAACUUUGCAGUCUGAGUAAACUUAAUUAAUAAAUUAAAACUUUUAGCAACGGAUCU
RNAcentral lists this unclassified non-coding RNA (214 nucleotides) under soil metagenome. RNAcentral's name for it is "partial contains 5.8S ribosomal RNA, internal transcribed spacer 2, and large subunit ribosomal RNA". The record is from RNAcentral.